GAAAGUGUAUACAAAUUAUGUGUUCACUAGGAGGGGUGGGGCAAAGGGGGGAAAUGGCUAAAAUAGUUCGUGUGCUCCAGCUUAGAGGUCGCGUCAGUUGCAAAGAAAUCUGUAAAUUUAAAGGAAUCUGUCACACAUUUUGCUAAAAGUAAAGAAGGUUCACUUAAAAAUAAUCGACGUGCGCACACUUCUCUUUUUAAUUCUUUGAUUUAUCAACAGCCGAUUAUUUUGCUGUCGUUGCGGUUUUUGGCGACAUUUUGUUUUAAUGUGUUUUAAAGACUUCAGAAAACGAUUUAACGUGAUUUUUUGGAUGUUUUUGUGAUCAAACAUCUCUACUUUUAUAUGGAUCUUUUAUUUGAAUCUAGUGUAUAGUGUGAAUGACAGUGUUUUAAUGAAGGAUGAAUCAACUUAAGGCAAAUUAAGAUAUUAAUAUAAUCAUAUUACACCAAGAAGGAUCACACAAACUUAGGAGAUGAAGACCGUCCUUGGAGAUGAUAACGGUUCUUGGGAUGUAAUUGAAAAUCCCAUGAAGACGAGUUAAAUAUAAUGUGCAGUAAUUAAUAGGUAUAUCAUAAUAAUAAAUAAAUUUAUUGUAGUUGCGAA
Molecule: long non-coding RNA, 603 nt
Organism: Tribolium castaneum (red flour beetle)
Lineage: Eukaryota; Metazoa; Arthropoda; Insecta; Coleoptera; Tenebrionidae
Exons: 2
Source: RefSeq, a predicted model, not a curated record